This 1521-nucleotide ribosomal RNA is filed under the name metagenome. RNAcentral describes it as "bacterial SSU rRNA". It matches the Rfam family "Bacterial small subunit ribosomal RNA". The record is from RNAcentral.
GAGUUUGAUCAUGGCUCAGAUUGAACGCUGGCGGCAGGCCUAACACAUGCAAGUCGAACGGUAACAGGAAACAGCUUGCUGUUUCGCUGACGAGUGGCGGACGGGUGAGUAAUGUCUGGGAAACUGCCUGAUGGAGGGGGAUAACUACUGGAAACGGUAGCUAAUACCGCAUAACGUCGCAAGACCAAAGAGGGGGACCUUCGGGCCUCUUGCCAUCAGAUGUGCCCAGAUGGGAUUAGCUAGUAGGUGGGGUAACGGCUCACCUAGGCGACGAUCCCUAGCUGGUCUGAGAGGAUGACCAGCCACACUGGAACUGAGACACGGUCCAGACUCCUACGGGAGGCAGCAGUGGGGAAUAUUGCACAAUGGGCGCAAGCCUGAUGCAGCCAUGCCGCGUGUAUGAAGAAGGCCUUCGGGUUGUAAAGUACUUUCAGCGGGGAGGAAGGGAGUAAAGUUAAUACCUUUGCUCAUUGACGUUACCCGCAGAAGAAGCACCGGCUAACUCCGUGCCAGCAGCCGCGGUAAUACGGAGGGUGCAAGCGUUAAUCGGAAUUACUGGGCGUAAAGCGCACGCAGGCGGUUUGUUAAGUCAGAUGUGAAAUCCCCGGGCUCAACCUGGGAACUGCAUCUGAUACUGGCAAGCUUGAGUCUCGUAGAGGGGGGUAGAAUUCCAGGUGUAGCGGUGAAAUGCGUAGAGAUCUGGAGGAAUACCGGUGGCGAAGGCGGCCCCCUGGACGAAGACUGACGCUCAGGUGCGAAAGCGUGGGGAGCAGACAGGAUUAGAUACCCUGGUAGUCCACGCCGUAAACGAUGUCGACUUGGAGGUUGUGCCCUUGAGGCGUGGCUUCCGGAGCUAACGCGUUAAGUCGACCGCCUGGGGAGUACGGCCGCAAGGUUAAAACUCAAAUGAAUUGACGGGGGCCCGCACAAGCGGUGGAGCAUGUGGUUUAAUUCGAUGCAACGCGAAGAACCUUACCUGGUCUUGACAUCCACGGAAGUUUUCAGAGAUGAGAAUGUGCCUUCGGGAACCGUGAGACAGGUGCUGCAUGGCUGUCGUCAGCUCGUGUUGUGAAAUGUUGGGUUAAGUCCCGCAACGAGCGCAACCCUUAUCCUUUGUUGCCAGCGGUCCGGCCGGGAACUCAAAGGAGACUGCCAGUGAUAAACUGGAGGAAGGUGGGGAUGACGUCAAGUCAUCAUGCCCCUUACGACCAGGGCUACACACGUGCUACAAUGGCGCAUACAAAGAGAAGCGACCUCGCGAGAGCAAGCGGACCUCAUAAAGUGCGUCGUAGUCCGGAUUGGAGUCUGCAACUCGACUCCAUGAAGUCGGAAUCGCUAGUAAUCGUGGAUCAGAAUGCCACGGUGAAUACGUUCCCGGGCCUUGUACACACCGCCCGUCACACCAUGGGAGUGGGUUGCAAAAGAAGUAGGUAGCUUAACCUUCGGGAGGGCGCUUACCACUUUGUGAUUCAUGACUGGGGUGAAGUCGUAACAAGGUAACCGUAGGGGAACCUGCGGUUG